CUUCCGUAAGGGGAACCUGCGGAAGGAUCAUUAGUGAAUAUAGGACGUCCAACUUAACUUGGAGUCCGAACUCUCACUUUCUAACCCUGUGCACUUGUUUGGGAUAGUAACUCUCGCAAGAGAGCGAACUCCUAUUCACUUAUAAACACAAAGUCUAUGAAUGUAUUAAAUUUUAUAACAAAAUAAAACUUUCAACAACGGAUCUCUUGGCUCUCGCAUCGAUGAAGAACGCAGCGAAAUGCGAUAAGUAAUGUGAAUUGCAGAAUUCAGUGAAUCAUCGAAUCUUUGAACGCACCUUGCGCUCCAUGGUAUUCCGUGGAGCAUGCCUGUUUGAGUGUCAUGAAUACUUCAACCCUCCUCUUUCUUAAUGAUUGAAGAGGUGUUUGGUUUCUGAGCGCUGCUGGCCUUUACGGUCUAGCUCGUUCGUAAUGCAUUAGCAUCCGCAAUCGAACUUCGGAUUGACUUGGCGUAAUAGACUAUUCGCUGAGGAAUUCUAGUCUUCGGACUAGAGCCGGGUUGGGUUAAAGGAAGCUUCUAAUCAGAAUGUCUACAUUUUAAGAUUAGAUCUCAAAUCAGGUAGGACUACCCGCUGAACUUAAGCAUAUCAAUAAGCGGAGGAA
RNAcentral lists this ribosomal RNA (620 nucleotides) under Rhodotorula mucilaginosa. Its description in RNAcentral is "eukaryotic LSU rRNA". The stretch from base 187 to 340 matches the Rfam family "5.8S ribosomal RNA". Lineage: Eukaryota; Fungi; Basidiomycota; Microbotryomycetes; Sporidiobolales; Sporidiobolaceae. The record is from RNAcentral.